CUGUAAUGAUGACAUCUUAGGACACCUUUGGAUUAAAGAUGAAAAAACUUUAUUUCUGAUCAGC
Molecule: small nucleolar RNA, 64 nt
Organism: Labeo rohita (rohu)
Lineage: Eukaryota; Metazoa; Chordata; Actinopteri; Cypriniformes; Cyprinidae
Product: small nucleolar RNA SNORD58
Exons: 1
Source: RefSeq, a predicted model, not a curated record